GUAGGGAAUAUUGGACAAUGGGCGAAAGCCUGAUCCAGCAACGCCGCGUGCGCGAUGACGGCCUUCGGGUUGUAAAGCGCUUUUAGAGGAGAUGAGAAAGGACAGUAUCCUCAGAAUAAGCCUCGGCGAACUACGUGCCAGCAGCCGCGGUAAAACGUAGGAGGCUAGCGUUAUCCGGAUUUAUUGGGCGUAAAGCGCGUGCAGGCGGUUUGAUAAGUUGGAUGUGAAAUCUCCCGGCUUAACUGGGAGCGGUCGUUCAAAACUAUCAGACUAGAGAAUGGGAGAGGAAGGUGGAAUUCCGGGUGUAGUGGUGAAAUGCGUAGAUAUCCGGAGGAACACCAGUGGCGAAAGCGGCCUUCUAGACCAUUUCUGACGCUAAGACGCGAAAGCUAGGGUAGCAAACGGGAUUAGAAACCCGGGUAGUCC
RNAcentral lists this ribosomal RNA (426 nucleotides) under uncultured bacterium. RNAcentral's name for it is "bacterial SSU rRNA". It matches the Rfam family "Bacterial small subunit ribosomal RNA", at positions 354 to 796 of the family's 1533-position model. The record is from RNAcentral.